ACAGCUUGCCGGUGUCGCGCUACACUGCUCUGUGGAGGGCUGAAGGCGGCGGUGAGCAGCCCCGAACGCGCCGCCCCUCAGCCCAGGCGCCUCCCGGGCUGCGGGGCCGAGCGACCGGGCUGUCCUCGGCAGCCGCUCAUUGCCGGCCUCCUCGGCGGGCAGGCGGCCAGUGCACUCCGGGCAGCCUGAUUGAAGGGAUUAAAGCAACAGGAAACGGUGUUUUCUUCCUUCUCCUCGUCGCCCUCUGCUUUUUGUGGCUACAUUCUGCCUGAUUUUAAAGCUUUAGAGAGCACAGGGCGCUUGCCCUUAAAUUCAGCGUGGCUAUUGGGAGAGAGGUUGAGGGAGUAGCCUGGGGUUAAGGUUCUGCGUUGAGUGCAGAGAACAGGUUUGCAGCUAUUGGAGGAAGCUACGGGUGGUGAGGCUGCCCUGUCUGGGGAGGGCUACGGAGCAGCCAGACAAUACUGUGGCCAUAUGUUGUCAGCAGUGAAUCAAGAAGAUAAAUCCCCUUGGUGAAAGGCUGAGUUGGCUGUAAACGUGGUAUAAGGUGUUCUUCCAGGAGCUAGUGAUUGCUCUUCUGGGUGAGAGUAGUCCUUGUAUAAUACUGUUGCCAUGUUGUAGUUGUUCAUAUGCUAAUGAGAGUGUAACUGACUUGUCACAUACAUCUUAAAAACCCAUGCCUCUGCUAGCUGUAGGUUUAGCCCUAACAAGCAGAUGUUGGCACCAUGUCAAAUGCUUUUUCAUGGUUGUCUUUUUUUUUUAAUGCUUAAAGGCUUUCAUGAAUGCCUAAGAGCAUAUCAGAUAGCUUCUAUGCAUCAAUGGCUUUUCUACUUUUAAACUAAUUAGGUGUUGUCACAUAAUUGAUGCUUAAUAAGUGUAGUUUUAAAAUGUUUUUAAUUACGUCAUAUAUAUUGUCUGAAAUACAGAUUUAUCUUUAGUUUCUCAUGUGCUCUGCUGUACUGGUGGCGGAAUAUUUUUUUUUGCAGCUCCAUGUCAGGAAACUAUUUGCAUGGCUUAUUCUCAAACUGUUUUUUUUUUUUUGUUUUUUUUUUAAGAGCAUUUUGAAUUUAUUGAGAAGCUUCUUCCCCACCCCAAAGAAUUAAAAUGUUUCUUUGCGUACAAAAUGAGAAACUGACUCCCUCUUUAGCUCUGUAUAAGAAUUCUCCCAGUAGUAUAAUCCCAGAGGAACAAAUAUGUGAUGCUUCUUUGGGCACAGUUCUAUGCAGCUAUUAUUUUUGGAUACUAAACUUACAUUAUUUUUUGGAUACUAAACUUAUUUUCCUUUUAUGCCUGUUACCAAUAUGUUGAAUUUGUGGUAAGAUGUAUGGUAUCAGAGAAAGACAAGCAGACUGACAGUGCUUUAACUGAGUUAGCCAGUGGCACUGUGUUUCCUUGGACUUAGUGAAGUAAUCACUGUGUAGCAUACUGGUAUAUCUUGGAGUGUACUUCUAUUAAUAUUCCAGUACAACAUAAGAAAUAGAUUUGCAAAAAUUAAAGCUCCAAGACUUCCUGCUCUCUACUAAAAUGAAUAAUGGAUCAUUUCAAUGAUUUUUUUCUAAGUGCUAAUCAAAAAUAUAAUGAUUUGCAAAUCACUGCUCAAAUCAGAGCAGUGAUUUUAAUUUUCAGCAAUUAUAGUCAUUAUAUUUUCUUUAUCUUUCAGAAAUUACUGUUUAUCAGUUAUGUAAAAUGGUUUACUGAGUAAACUGUUCCUUAUGAUUAUGAAGCAGCUAUUACUUAGUGCUUGCUGGUUAUUUCAAUAUAGGUUUUACCUACCUUAAGCUUUAAGUAACAAUAAGAUAAACUUAUUAGUACUUAUGAAAGCAGAUUAGUCCAAAGUUAUAAGCUUGAAUACUGUAGUAAAGUUUCAUUUGACUGAUUCCAUGAGCCACAUUGUGUUUGGAUUCAGCCUCCUUGACUGUGGACAUCAACACCCCAUGCCUUGAAAUUUAGGCAUGGCUCAAAUUGUUUGAUUGAGCACACAUAGAAAUGGUAUUUAUUUCCUUCUGUGACAGUGACUGAAAUGAUUGCAUCUGUAUGGUGACAAAUUUAGGUUUCAUUUUUUUCAUAAGCAAGUUCAUUUGGAAGCAACAGGGGGGAAUGAUAUAGUGAAGAAUAGAACAUUCUUGUUCCUUCAGUCCUCAGGAGGCCCUCUUUGCUUAGGUGUUUCAACCCCCAACCCUUUGUGCCCUUAAAUCAACAGGCUCCAGGUUGAUUUGGAUUCACUGGCUAUCUCUCUUCUAGGUUUUAUUGUUUAAAAGGCAGCUGACACCUUUAAAACACCUCUCCCUCACCCGCGUCAGUUUGUGUGUGUAUUGUAUACACACAUCAAAUAUAACAAAAAUCUCUUGAGAUGUUAGAGAAUUAGGCUUAGAUCCUAAGGAUAGAUUUAAAGGUUGAAUCUCAUUUUCUGGACUAGUGUUGUAACUGCUAGGCUAUUGUGCAGAAAGCAAUUUCUGUUGCCUGUGUUUCUCAUCCACCUUCUUGCUAAGCUGCUGUAAGUGAUUCUGAGGUCAGCUGUUAAAUUGCUGUUUUCUUCAGCUUUUAGCCAUCACAAAUAGGUGUAGUCUCGCAUUUUUAAACUAGCUCUCUCAGUGAUGCCAGGAUGAAUGGAAACGUGCUGGGAGGGAACUGCAAGACAUAUUACAAGACUGUUGUCUACUAAAGAUUAUUUAAAAACAAAAAUCUUAAUUCUUCUUUCACCUCUUAAUGGUUGUUUUGCUAUCUCAGGAACUUUCUAAUUCUUCAGUGGUUCUGGAUGGUUUGAGCUCAAUUUUGCAAUUUCAGACUUGUUCCAAUGUCACUUGUAUAGUCAUAUGAUGGUUUUUGCAUUGUUGAUGCUGUUUUUGUCUGUCUUGUUUGACUGCUAAAACCUAAAGGGGAAAGGUUCAGAUUCCAUGUGAAAGAAAUGGUAAAUGAUAGAAAAAGAAUGGAGAAUGAACUAUACACCAUGUUUAUUCAGUGGAAUAGACUAUUGCUACUUGAGUGACUGGUUGUUAUAAUGCUGUUGAAUUUUUUAUGUUUUAGUAAUCUGCCAUUUUAAUAAUCCUUUUUUUUUUUUUUUUUUUGGAUCAAACUGAACUGUAAUUGAUAAACUUUUUGUGGAUAGUAUCUUGCAUUACUUUUUGGUUUAAGAGAAUGUCUUAUUCUGUUCUAAGUUUGUUGUUCACAGGCUGUUGGUUUCCUAUUCUUUUUUCCUGCUUAUGAGAAGCACCAAUAGGAUCUUGCAAGAGUCAACAGUUGAAUAUGAGAUGUACAAGAAAAAUCAAUGCAUCUGAGAAAUAGAAGGAAAGUACUGUGAAAAUUGAAGCAUUUUGUUGUUAACUCACCUUGCUGGGAGUACUCCCUGGCAAUAUAAAGCAAACAAG
This is a long non-coding RNA of Gallus gallus (chicken), 3362 nucleotides long. RefSeq lists it as uncharacterized. Lineage: Eukaryota; Metazoa; Chordata; Aves; Galliformes; Phasianidae. The record is from RefSeq and is a predicted model, not a curated record. The transcript has 3 exons.